AGGGUUCGAUUAUGGCUCAGGAUGAAUGCUGGCGGCGUGCUUAACACAUGCAAGUCGAACGAACCUUCGGGUUAGUGGCGGACGGGUGAGUAACGCGUGAGAAUCUGCCCUCAGGAGGGGGAUAACGGUUGGAAACGACCGCUAAUACCCCAUAUGCCUAUUGGUGAAAUGAAUUUCGCCUGAGGAUGAGCUCGCGUCUGAUUAGCUAGUUGGUGAGGUAAUGGCUCACCAAGGCUUCGAUCAGUAGCUGGUCUGAGAGGAUGAUCAGCCACACUGGGACUGAGACACGGCCCAGACUCCUACGGGAGGCAGCAGUGGGGAAUUUUCCGCAAUGGGCGAAAGCCUGACGGAGCAACGCCGCGUGAGGGACGAAGGCCUCUGGGCUGUAAACCUCUUUUCUCAAGGAAGAAGAUAUGACGGUACUUGAGGAAUAAGCCACGGCUAAUUCCGUGCCAGCAGCCGCGGUAAUAC
RNAcentral lists this ribosomal RNA (471 nucleotides) under uncultured bacterium. RNAcentral describes it as "bacterial SSU rRNA". It matches the Rfam family "Bacterial small subunit ribosomal RNA", at positions 8 to 526 of the family's 1533-position model. The record is from RNAcentral.